Molecule: ribosomal RNA, 495 nt
Filed under: uncultured bacterium
Lineage: Bacteria
Description: partial 16S ribosomal RNA
Rfam family: Bacterial small subunit ribosomal RNA
Source: RNAcentral
GGGGGGGGGGGGGGGGGGGGGGGGUGGGGGGGGGGGGAGGGGUGGAGGGGGAGCGGGCUUCUCCGGGGGGGUUGCGGACGGGUGGGUGACGCGUAGGGGACCUGCCUGGUAGCGGGGGAUGACGAUUGGAGACGAUAGCUAAUACCGCAUAACAGUAGAUGUUGCAUGACAUUUGCAUCAAAGGUGCCAUUGCCUCACUACCAGAUGGACCUGCGUUGUAUUAGCUAGUUGGUGAGGUAACGGCUCACCAAGGCGACGAUACAUAGCCGACCUGAGAGGGUGAUCGGCCACACUGGGACUGAGACACGGCCCAGACUCCUACGGGAGGCAGCAGUAGGGAAUCUUCGGCAAUGGACGGAAGUCUGACCGAGCAACGCCGCGUGAGUGAAGAAGGUUUUCGGAUCGUAAAGCUCUGUUGUAAGAGAAGAACGAGUGUGAGAGUGGAAAGUUCACACUGUGACGGUAUCUUACCAGAAAGGGACGGCUAACUACGUG